Molecule: ribosomal RNA, 449 nt
Filed under: uncultured bacterium
Lineage: Bacteria
Description: partial 16S ribosomal RNA
Rfam family: Bacterial small subunit ribosomal RNA
Source: RNAcentral
AACGAACGCUGGCGGCAUGCCUAACACAUGCAAGUCGAGCGAAGGCUUCGGCCUUAGUGGCGCACGGGUGAGUAACGCGUAGGAAACUGCCUAUUGGUGGGGAAUAACGACGGGAAACUGUCGCUAAUACCGCAUAAGCCCUUCGGGGGAAAGAUUUAUCGCCGAUAGAUGUGCCCGAGUCCGAUUGGCUAGUUGGUGAGGUAAUGGCUCACCAAGGCGACGAUCGGUAGCUGGUCUGAGAGGAUGAUCAGCCACACUGGGACUGAGACACGGCCCAGACUCCCGCGGGAGGCAGCAGUGGGGAAUAUUGGACAAUGGGCGAAAGCCGGAUCCAGCAAUGCCGCGUGAGUGAUGAAGGCCUUAGGGUUGUAAAGCUCUUUCGGGUGGGACGACGAUGACGGUACCACCAGAAGAAGCCCCGGCUAACUUCGUGCCAGCAGCCGCCGCCG